RNAcentral lists this ribosomal RNA (253 nucleotides) under uncultured bacterium. Its description in RNAcentral is "partial 16S ribosomal RNA". It matches the Rfam family "Bacterial small subunit ribosomal RNA", at positions 524 to 776 of the family's 1533-position model. The record is from RNAcentral.
UACAGAGGGUGCGAGCGUUAAUCGGAAUUACUGGGCGUAAAGCGCACGUAGGCGGCUUUGCAAGUCGGGUGUGAAAUCCCCGGGCUCAACCUGGGAACUGCAUCCGAGACUGCUUUGCUCGAGUAUGGGAGAGGGAAGUGGAAUUUCCGGUGUAGCGGUGAAAUGCGUAGAUAUCGGAAGGAACAUCAGUGGCGAAGGCGACUUCCUGGACCAAUACUGACGCUCAGGUGCGAAAGCGUGGGGAGCAAACAGG